Molecule: long non-coding RNA, 499 nt
Filed under: Vombatus ursinus (common wombat)
Lineage: Eukaryota; Metazoa; Chordata; Mammalia; Diprotodontia; Vombatidae
Description: lncRNA (ENSVURG00010002470.1)
Source: RNAcentral
UGUUUCUUGCCACACUCUCUCUCCCAGGUCUGCCCAAUGAUGUUCGUACUGGUGGUGAGGAAUAGAGACUGGGAAAGAUGAGAUGCAGAGGUGUGAGAAGGUUUUCUCUCAUUUUCUCCAAUAUAAAGAAAGGUUUAGGAUUCACUUGUCUUUGGUUCAAGGACAGAAGAACCAGACAAUUGCUACAGCACCAGAUCAUUGCUUGAGAUUCCCUGAAACUUCUCACAGGGUUACAAGGAAAUUGAGGGUACCGAUUAUCCUGUACUUCUAGCCCAGGGAAGAGUGAGGACUGCAACCAAAGCCUUAUCAGAGAAUACGUACUUCACAGACCACCUCACAGAUGAACUAGAUACAAGUUUACUACUUGUGCCUGUCUCAUCUUACCUACCUCACUUCCUUUCUGGAUAGAAAUGAAAAUUGGGAACCAACAGAGUAAGUAAAUACUAGAAAAUGAGAGAAAUGUUCUAAUAUUUAUUAGUAUGUUAUUCUUUAAAAGUUA